GAGGGUAUAGCUCAGUGGUAGAGUGCAUGCUUAGCAUGCAUGAAGUCCUGGGUUCAAUUCCCAGUACCUCUG
This 72-nucleotide transfer RNA is filed under the name Camelus bactrianus (Bactrian camel). It matches the Rfam family "tRNA". From Rfam's summary of the family: Transfer RNA (tRNA) molecules are approximately 80 nucleotides in length. Their secondary structure includes four short double-helical elements and three loops (D, anti-codon, and T loops). RNAcentral also lists the same sequence under 1 other name. The record is from Rfam by way of RNAcentral. Lineage: Eukaryota; Metazoa; Chordata; Mammalia; Artiodactyla; Camelidae.